GUGGGGAAUAUUGGACAAUGGGCGAAAGCCUGAUCCAGCAAUGCCGCGUGAGUGAUGAAGGCCCUAGGGUUGUAAAGCUCUUUUACCCGGGAUGAUAAUGACAGUACCGGGAGAAUAAGCUCCGGCUAACUCCGUGCCAGCAGCCGCGGUAAUACGGAGGGAGCUAGCGUUGUUCGGAAUUACUGGGCGUAAAGCGCGCGUAGGCGGUUUUUUAAGUCAGAGGUGAAAGCCCGGGGCUCAACCCCGGAAUUGCCUUUGAAACUGGAAAACUUGAAUCUUGGAGAGGUCAGUGGAAUUCCGAGUGUAGAGGUGAAAUUCGUAGAUAUUCGGAAGAACACCAGUGGCGAAGGCGACUGACUGGACAAGUAUUGACGCUGAGGUGCGAAAGCGUGGGGAGCAAACAGGAUUAGAAACCCGUGUAGUCC
This 425-nucleotide ribosomal RNA is filed under the name uncultured bacterium. RNAcentral's name for it is "partial 16S ribosomal RNA". It matches the Rfam family "Bacterial small subunit ribosomal RNA", at positions 354 to 796 of the family's 1533-position model. The record is from RNAcentral.